This 329-nucleotide ribosomal RNA is filed under the name uncultured eukaryote. RNAcentral describes it as "partial 18S ribosomal RNA". It matches the Rfam family "Eukaryotic small subunit ribosomal RNA", at positions 1470 to 1796 of the family's 1831-position model. The record is from RNAcentral.
CCCUUAGAUGUUCUGGGCCGCACGCGCGCUACACUGACACGUUCAUCAAGUCUAUAACCUUGACCGAGAGGUCUGGGUAAUCUUUUAAAAACGUGUCGUGCUGGGGAUAGAUUAUUGCAAUUAUUAAUCUUCAACGAGGAAUUCCUAGUAAACGCAAGUCAUCAACUUGCAUUGAUUACGUCCCUGCCCCUUGUACACACCGCCCGUCGCUACUACCGAUUGAAUGAUUUAGUGAGUACCAGGGACCGAGCGCUUUGGUUGGGUUUCCUUCCCUAGCGCUUGGGAACUGUCGCAAACUUGACCAUUUAGAGGAAGUAAAAGUCGUAACA